This 647-nucleotide long non-coding RNA is filed under the name Heterocephalus glaber (naked mole-rat). RNAcentral's name for it is "lncRNA (ENSHGLG00100039483.1)". Lineage: Eukaryota; Metazoa; Chordata; Mammalia; Rodentia; Bathyergidae. The record is from RNAcentral.
CGGAAUCAGCACCGGAAGUGCUGCCUGGAAGAAUCACUCUUGUCCCCCAAUGAAAGGUGACUCAGGCUGGGAUCGAUCGCAAGUCAGCGUGAUCAGCUCCGAGGUGACCCUGCUCAGCCUUGGGCCAGGCUCAGUCCCGAUCCCCACCAGGAGCCCCCAGAAGCCGGGCCAGGGAAACUGUGGCUGAACAAUGAGAAAUACACGAGUGGCUGCAUCUCCACCUUCAGAGCUGUUUGGAUACCAAAUGAGUUACUUCAAGCAGAGCAGAGCUUGGUCUACAGCAAGCUGUUGAUGUCAGUGGACCACAUCUCCACGAAUGCUGCGCUGCACAACAAGCAGAGGUUGGCAUCCUCCUUGGUAGUUAAGCUCCUGUGAUAUCGUGAAAUACAUAUGUGGUCUGCUUCCCUCCAAGAAUCCUCCAAAAUGCCUUUCUCUGCCCCAGGCCACACUUGCAGGGUGAUGCAGUGUCUCACACCCUCACAGAGGAGGUAGGACAACCCCCUCAUGUGCCACUGGAGCUGGUCUCGGUGAUGGGGACAUCAGGGCAGCCUCCUCUCAUGCCAGGCUGGUGUGAGUGGGUUUCUGGGCAUCUGCUGGUUGGGCUGAACCAGGUGCAGAUGGAGGGGAGGCUGUGCAGACAUAGGGAG